Molecule: ribosomal RNA, 460 nt
Filed under: uncultured bacterium
Lineage: Bacteria
Description: partial 16S ribosomal RNA
Rfam family: Bacterial small subunit ribosomal RNA
Source: RNAcentral
CCUACGGGUGGCAGCAGUGAGGAAUAUUGGUCAAUGGACGCAAGUCUGAACCAGCCAUGCCGCGUGCAGGAUGACGGCUCUAUGAGUUGUAAACUGCUUUUGUACGAGGGUAAACCCCGAUACGUGUACCGGGUUGAAAGUACCGUAUGAAUAAGGAUCGGCUAACUCCGUGCCAGCAGCCGCGGUAAUACGGAGGAUCCGAGCGUUAUCCGGAUUUAUUGGGUUUAAAGGGUGCGUAGAUGGUUUGAUAAGUUAGAGGUGAAAGGUCGGGGCUCAACCCCGAAACUGCAAUUAAUACUGUUGGACUAGAGAACAGUUGCGGUAGGCGGAAUGUGUGGUGUAGCGGUGAAAUGCUUAGAGAUCAUAAAGAACACCGAUUGCGAAGGCAGCUUACCAAACUGUAUCUGACGUUGAGGCACGAAAGCGUGGGUAGCAAACAGGAUUAGAUACCCGGGUAGUC